RNAcentral lists this unclassified non-coding RNA (253 nucleotides) under uncultured Myxococcales bacterium. Its description in RNAcentral is "contains 16S-23S intergenic spacer region". It matches the Rfam family "Bacterial small subunit ribosomal RNA", at positions 524 to 776 of the family's 1533-position model. Lineage: Bacteria; Pseudomonadati; Myxococcota; Myxococcia; Myxococcales. The record is from RNAcentral.
UACAGAGGGUGCAAACGUUGCUCGGAAUCACUGGGCGUAAAGCGCGUGUAGGCGGAUGUUCAAGUCAGAUGUGAAAGCCCUGGGCUUAACCCAGGAAUUGCAUUUGAAACUGGAUGUCUUGAGUAUUGGGGAGGGAAGCGGAAUUCCUGGUGUAGAGGUGAAAUUCGUAGAUAUCAGGAGGAACACCGGUGGCGAAGGCGGCUUCCUGGACAAUGACUGACGCUGAGACGCGAAAGCGUGGGGAGCAAACAGG